Molecule: long non-coding RNA, 468 nt
Filed under: Heterocephalus glaber (naked mole-rat)
Lineage: Eukaryota; Metazoa; Chordata; Mammalia; Rodentia; Bathyergidae
Description: lncRNA (ENSHGLG00000048534.1)
Source: RNAcentral
CUCUUUUAGACUAGAGCUCAGCUUCCAGUUUAUUAAGAAGAAGAUGCUGGUUCAGGUUCUGUGGCAGGGAUAGAACUCCGGUCCUUGCUCCACUAUUCAUGCUGAGUGCCUGACAUGUGCCAGGAUGGUAUCCCUUUCCCUACAGGUCCCUAUGUAAAUACCUGGCAUAGGGGUGAGAGAAGGAGGCUUGGAGAAGGAAGUGUACUCAGAGCAGGGUGGAGCAGGAUGGGCUGAUGGGGAGACCCCAUGUCUUUGGCCCUGCAGCAGAAGUGAACAGAAAGCCUUCCAGGGUCAGAGCUGUGGAUUACUAUCUCCUCCCACUAGGACCAGAAGAGGAAGGAAGUGGCCCUCCCUGAUCCUACAAUGCUAUGCAAAACUGAAGAUGUCAAAGAUUCUGUCCUCAGUGAGGCAAAAGGGCUUGGUUGGCCCCCUGUUGAUUAAAGAAGAUGGGAACCAUGUGAAAGCAGG